AGUGAACGCUGGCGGUAGGCCUAACACAUGCAAGUCGAACGGCAGCACAGUAAGAGCUUGCUCUUACGGGUGGCGAGUGGCGGACGGGUGAGGAAUACAUCGGAAUCUACUUUUUCGUGGGGGAUAACGUAGGGAAACUUACGCUAAUACCGCAUACGACCUACGGGUAAAAGCAGGGGAUCUUCGGACCUUGCGCGAUUGAAUGAGCCGAUGUCGGAUUAGCUAGUUGGCGGGGUAAAGGCCCACCAAGGCGACGAUCCGUAGCUGGUCUGAGAGGAUGAUCAGCCACACUGGAACUGAGACACGGUCCAGACUCCUACGGGAGGCAGCAGUGGGGAAUAUUGGACAAUGGGCGCAAGCCUGAUCCAGCCAUACCGCGUGGGUGAAGAAGGCCUUCGGGUUGUAAAGCCCUUUUGUUGGGAAAGAAAAGCAGCAGGUUAAUACCCCGCUGUUCUGACGGUACCCAAAGAAUAAGCACCGGCUAACUUCGU
RNAcentral lists this ribosomal RNA (491 nucleotides) under uncultured bacterium. RNAcentral describes it as "partial 16S ribosomal RNA". It matches the Rfam family "Bacterial small subunit ribosomal RNA", at positions 29 to 506 of the family's 1533-position model. The record is from RNAcentral.